CCUAGUAACUGCGAGUGAAGCGGGAAAAGCUCAAAUUUAAAAUCUGGCAGUCUUUGAUUGUCCGAGUUGUAAUCUAGAGAAGUGUUAUCCGCGUUGGACCGUGUACAAGUCUCCUGGAAUGGAGCGUCAUAGAGGGUGAGAAUCCCGUCUUUGACACGGACUACCAGUGCUUUGUGAUGCGCUCUCAAAGAGUCGAGUUGUUUGGGAAUGCAGCUCAAAAUGGGUGGUAAAUUCCAUCUAAAGCUAAAUAUUGGCGAGAGACCGAUAGCGAACAAGUACCGUGAGGGAAAGAUGAAAAGAACUUUGGAAAGAGAGUUAAACAGUACGUGAAAUUGCUGAAAGGGAAACGCUUGAAGUCAGUCGCGUUGUCCGGGGAUCAACCUUGCUUUUGCUGGGUGUACUUUCCGGUUGACGGGUCAGCAUCAAUUUUGACCGUUGGAUAAAGUGUAAGGGAAUGUGGCAUCUUCGGAUGUGUUAUAGCCCUUGCUCGCAUACAACGAUUGGGAUUGAGGAACUCAGUACGCCGCAAGGCCGGGAAUUUAUUCCACGUUCGUACUUAGGAUGCUGGCAUAAUGGCUUUAAUCGACCCGUCUUGAAACACGGACCAAGGAGUCUAACAUGCCUGCGAGUGUUUGGGUGGAAAACCCGAGCGCGUAAUGAAAGUGAAAGUUGAGAUCCCUGUCGUGGGGAGCAUCGACGCCCGGACCAGACCUUUUGUGACGGAUCUGCGGUAGAGCAUGUAUGUUGGGACCCGAAAGAUGGUGAACUAUGCCUGAAUAGGGUGAAGCCAGAGGAAACUCUGGUGGAGGCUCGUAGCGAUUCUGACGUGCAAAUCGAUCGUCAAAUUUGGGUAUAGGGGCGAAAGACUAAUCGAACCAUCUA
This 882-nucleotide ribosomal RNA is filed under the name Psilocybe sp. RNAcentral describes it as "partial large subunit ribosomal RNA". It matches the Rfam family "Eukaryotic large subunit ribosomal RNA", at positions 79 to 946 of the family's 3401-position model. Lineage: Eukaryota; Fungi; Basidiomycota; Agaricomycetes; Agaricales; Agrocybaceae. The record is from RNAcentral.